Molecule: ribosomal RNA, 497 nt
Filed under: uncultured bacterium
Lineage: Bacteria
Description: partial 16S ribosomal RNA
Rfam family: Bacterial small subunit ribosomal RNA
Source: RNAcentral
GAUGAACGCUGGCGGCGUGCCUAAUACAUGCAAGUCGAGCGAACAGACGAGGAGCUUGCUCCUCUGACGUUAGCGGCGGACGGGUGAGUAACACGUGGAUAACCUACCUAUAAGACUGGGAUAACUUCGGGAAACCGGAGCUAAUACCGGAUAAUAUAUUGAACCGCAUGGUUCAAUAGUGAAAGACGGUUUUGCUGUCACUUAUAGAUGGAUCCGCGCCGCAUUAGCUAGUUGGUAAGGUAACGGCUUACCAAGGCAACGAUGCGUAGCCGACCUGAGAGGCUGAUCGGCCACACUGGAACUGAGACACGGUCAAGACUCCUACGGGAGGCAGCAGUAGGGAAUCUUCCGCAAUGGGCGAAAGCCUGACGGAGCAACGCCGCGUGAGUGAUGAAGGUCUUCGGAUCGUAAAACUCUGUUAUUAGGGAAGAACAAAUGUGUAAGUAACUAUGCACGUCUUGACGGUACCUAAUCAGAAAGCCACGGCUAACUACGUG